Molecule: small RNA, 386 nt
Filed under: Pongo abelii (Sumatran orangutan)
Lineage: Eukaryota; Metazoa; Chordata; Mammalia; Primates; Hominidae
Description: retained intron
Source: RNAcentral
ACCUUAGGCCACUUCAGAGUAUUUGUAUUUUCGUUGACUAAGCCUUCUCACCAUGCAUUUGUAUUAUCAGCAGAUUUGGGAAUUUUCCGGCGGGCUGCCAUGGUGUUCUACACAGACUGUAUCCAGCAGUGUAGCCGGCCUCUAUAUAUGGAUAGAAUGGUGUUGCUGGUUGUGGGGAAUCUGGUUAACUGGUCCUUGUAAGUAGUCUUAUGAAAACAUGUUUUUGCCUUUAUUAAUGUCAGUAACACUGUGGUUUAGCUUUCCUUGACUGUCAUUUUUACAAAGAAAUCUGAAAUUAAGGAGAAGGUAGGACUGCUUGUUCUAGAGACUCAAAAAAAGGUAGUAGGACAUUCUCCUGUAGCAAUUGUAGCCUCUCUUAAAACACU